UGGGGAAUAUUGGACAAUGGGCGGAAGCCUGAUCCAGCCAUGCCGCGUGUGUGAAGAAGGCCUUUUGGUUGUAAAGCACUUUAAGCGAGGAGGAGGCUACUUGGAUUAAUACUCUAGGAUAGUGGACGUUACUCGCAGAAUAAGCACCGGCUAACUCUGUGCCAGCGGCCGCGGUAAUACAGAGGGUGCGAGCGUUAAUCGGAUUUACUGGGCGUAAAGCGUGCGUAGGCGGCUUCUUAAGUCGGAUGUGAAAUCCCUGAGCUUAACUUAGGAAUUGCAUUCGAUACUGGGAAGCUAGAGUAUGGGAGAGGAUGGUAGAAUUCCAGGUGUAGCGGUGAAAUGCGUAGAGAUCUGGAGGAAUACCGAUGGCGAAGGCAGCCAUCUGGCCUAAUACUGACGCUGAGGUACGAAAGCAUGGGGAGCAAACAGG
This 430-nucleotide ribosomal RNA is filed under the name bacterium. RNAcentral describes it as "partial 16S ribosomal RNA". It matches the Rfam family "Bacterial small subunit ribosomal RNA", at positions 355 to 776 of the family's 1533-position model. The record is from RNAcentral.